This 735-nucleotide ribosomal RNA is filed under the name Bacillus sp. (in: firmicutes). RNAcentral describes it as "bacterial SSU rRNA". It matches the Rfam family "Bacterial small subunit ribosomal RNA", at positions 57 to 773 of the family's 1533-position model. Lineage: Bacteria; Bacillati; Bacillota; Bacilli; Caryophanales; Bacillaceae. The record is from RNAcentral.
GCAGUCGAGCGAUGGAUUAAGAGCUUGCUCUUAUGAAGUUAGCGGCGGACGGGUGAGUAACACGUGGGUAACCUGCCCAUAAGACUGGGAUAACUCCGGGAAACCGGGGCUAAUACCGGAUAAUAUUUUGAACUGCAUGGUUCGAAAUUGAAAGGCGGCUUCGGCUGUCACUUAUGGAUGGACCCGCGUCGCAUUAGCUAGUUGGUGAGGUAACGGCUCACCAAGGCAACGAUGCGUAGCCGACCUGAGAGGGUGAUCGGCCACACUGGGACUGAGACACGGCCCAGACUCCUACGGGAGGCAGCAGUAGGGAAUCUUCCGCAAUGGACGAAAGUCUGACGGAGCAACGCCGCGUGAGUGAUGAAGGCUUUCGGGUCGUAAAACUCUGUUGUUAGGGAAGAACAAGUGCUAGUUGAAUAAGCUGGCACCUUGACGGUACCUAACCAGAAAGCCACGGCUAACUACGUGCCAGCAGCCGCGGUAAUACGUAGGUGGCAAGCGUUAUCCGGAAUUAUUGGGCGUAAAGCGCGCGCAGGUGGUUUCUUAAGUCUGAUGUGAAAGCCCACGGCUCAACCGUGGAGGGUCAUUGGAAACUGGGAGACUUGAGUGCAGAAGAGGAAAGUGGAAUUCCAUGUGUAGCGGUGAAAUGCGUAGAGAUAUGGAGGAACACCAGUGGCGAAAGGCGACUUUCUGGUCUGUAACUGACACUGAGGCGCGAAAGCGUGGGGAGCAAAC